UUGUAAGAAAUAAUAUAUUAUAUUUAGUUUCGACCUAUAUCUUAGAUUUUAAAAAUCCUUACAAU
This 65-nucleotide transfer RNA is filed under the name Passalidae sp. GENSP01. RNAcentral describes it as "tRNA-Arg". Lineage: Eukaryota; Metazoa; Arthropoda; Insecta; Coleoptera; Passalidae. The record is from RNAcentral.